GACGAACGCUGGCGGCGUGCCUAACACAUGCAAGUCGAACGAGGUCCAAGGAAGCUUGCUUCCUGAAGACCUAGUGGCGAACGGGUGAGUAACACGUGAGAAACCUGCCUCGGAGUGGGGAAUAACUCGGGGAAACUCGAGCUAAUACCGCAUACCUUCACAUGAUCGCAUGGUCGAGUGAAGAAAGAAUUUCGCUCUGAGAGGGUCUCGCGGCCUAUCAGCUUGUUGGUGGGUAACGGCCUACCAAGGCAACGACGGGUAGCUGGUUUGAGAGAACGAUCAGCCACACUGGGACUGAGACACGGCCCAGACUCCUACGGGAGGCAGCAGUGGGGAAUCUUGCGCAAUGGGCGAAAGCCUGACGCAGCAAACGCCGCGUGCGGGAUGACGGCCU
This 394-nucleotide ribosomal RNA is filed under the name uncultured bacterium. RNAcentral describes it as "bacterial SSU rRNA". It matches the Rfam family "Bacterial small subunit ribosomal RNA", at positions 28 to 417 of the family's 1533-position model. The record is from RNAcentral.